UUAGCUGGUUGGCGGGGUAACGGCCCACCAAGGCGACGAUCAGUAGCCGACCUGAGAGGGUGGCCGGCCACAUUGGGACUGAGACACGGCCCAAACUCCUACGGGAGGCAGCAGCGGGGAAUAUUGCACAAUGGGGGAAACCCUGAUGCAGCAACGCCGCGUGAGUGAAGAAGUAUUUCGGUAUGUAAAGCUCUAUCAGCAGGGAAGAAAAAAGACGGUACCUGACUAAGAAGCCCCGGCUAACUACGUGCCAGCAGCCGCGGUAAUACGUAGGGGGCAAGCGUUAUCCGGAUUUACUGGGUGUAAAGGGAGCGUAGACGGCAUAGCAAGUCUGAAGUGAAAGCCCGUGGCUCAACCGCGGAACUGCUUUGGAAACUGUUAAGCUGGAGUACUGGAGAGGCAAGCGGAAUUCCUAGUGUAGCGGUGAAAUGCGUAGAUAUUAGGAGGAACACCAGUGGCGAAGGCGGCUUGCUGGACAGAGACUGACGUUGAGGCUCGAAAGCGUGGGGAGCAAACAGGAUUAGAUACCCUGGUAGUCCACGCGGUAAACGAUGAAUGCUAGGUGUUGGCGGGCAAAGCCCGUCG
Molecule: ribosomal RNA, 585 nt
Filed under: uncultured bacterium
Lineage: Bacteria
Description: bacterial SSU rRNA
Rfam family: Bacterial small subunit ribosomal RNA
Source: RNAcentral